Molecule: ribosomal RNA, 252 nt
Filed under: uncultured bacterium
Lineage: Bacteria
Description: partial 16S ribosomal RNA
Rfam family: Bacterial small subunit ribosomal RNA
Source: RNAcentral
UACGUAAGUUGCAAGCGUUAUCCGGAUUUAUUGGGCAUAAAGAGUGCGUAGGCGGUAUAUUAAGUCAGGUGUAAAAUCCCACAGCUCAACUGUGGACUGCAUUUGAUACUGAUUUACUAGAGACUAGGAGAGGAAAGCGGAACUCACAGUGUAGCGGUGAAAUGCGUAGAUAUUGUGGGGAACACCAGUGGCGAAGGCGGCUUUCUGGACUAGUUCUGACGCUGAGGCACGAAAGCAUGGGUAGCGAACGGG